Molecule: long non-coding RNA, 1622 nt
Organism: Paramacrobiotus metropolitanus
Lineage: Eukaryota; Metazoa; Tardigrada; Eutardigrada; Parachela; Macrobiotidae
Exons: 3
Source: RefSeq, a predicted model, not a curated record
UUAGGGCACACAUUUCAGUUUUAGCAAGUUUGUUUUAAAAAUUGCGUGUAAAAAAAGUUAUUAGCACCCCACAUCCUUAGGGUUCUAAAUGCGCGCGUUAAUUUUGCAUACGUUUUUUAUUUAAUCACAAUAAACAAGUAGCCGUACGUCCUCGCUUCUGUUCCUUUUUAAAUUUCUUAACGUAUCUGUAUAUUAAUCGGCGCCUAGGUGUAAUUUAUUAAUUUAUUGGAGUUUUGGAUCUUCUGCACUAAUUUUGUCACAGCUUCCGAUGGUACAAGAUAAUCCGUUCGGUUUGUCACAGAUAUUUUGCGGUCGGCAUGCCUUUGAACGAAGUUAAUUAACAAAGUACCAACACCGAAAGCCAUUACAUGGCACAAAAGCGCAAAGGAUCAAUUACCAUGUUAAGAGGCUUAAUUCAUCACUGAGCAUAGAGUGUGUGAAGAAAACAGUCACAUAUAGCUGAUCGGCCUGAUCCCAUGAAUGGCCACCAGCAAAGAUACGCACAUCAACAGGUGCGACAUGUAUGCAAUUUAAUGACAAUGAUGACAAGGACGUCGUAAACACUUAUCGUGAUGGCGCGAAAUCAAACCAUCAGACCAUCACAGACUUUAAACAAUGCUCAACCGCGGCGACUCAUAAUGCCCCAUAACGCAGUCCAUUAGAAACGAAACAACUUUUGGUCCAAACAUGAAUGGCAGUUUUUUGCUCUCGAUGAUCUAAACACACAAACUUUUUCGAAUGGAAUUCACAAGAACGAAGCGAAUCGACAGGCUAUGCGCCGCAGCCGUUAUUCCAACGUUUUACCCAAUCACUUACAUCAAACAAAAGAUCUUCUGCUACAACAGACUUCUCCGGGGUAAUGUAUUGUUCGCAAACAACCGUCGACGAAUUGGAAAACCGGUUUUCCAUUGCGGAAGCGCGUCCUCGAAAAAGCAAAACCACAGCCGCGUCGUAUCCGCUGCUUUGAAUGACAGUGGCGAAUUUCAAGAGAAGUUCCCGCUUUACGAGUUCACCGUGGGUAGCCGAUCAGCCCGAACUGAGCCAUUUCUUCGCUGGAUGUCAAUUCCGUGCCCUAAAAUAACCCACACGUAGAAACCACGCUAUUAUGAUUCAAUUACACAGUUCAGUAAAUGUCAGUGCCAUCAAGACUGGCCCUGCAUUAUUUUGUGCCCAUUUGCACUUUUUGUUAAUCUUUUGGGCGGCACAUACCAUCAUCACAUCAAUGUCAUUCAUAUUCGAAAUGGCGGAUCCGUCAAAUGAAUGGACGAGCAAGGAACUUUCGUGAUCAUGAAGAGCCCCGACGAAAGCAUCGACUGCAGCAUCAUCCUCUACAAAACGUAAAAACCAAUGGAAUGGUCUCAUAAAAUUAGUUAGUUGGCAACUUGCGUUUAAUAUGACUGUAGUAAAGGUGUGAGUUACACGAAAGAGCAGCAUGGAUUCUGGUGAUCAACACAGAGUGAUUUUCCCUACCAAGAGCAACUUUCAGUAAAGGAACUUCGGCCUUGAAAUCCGCAAUCUGUGGCAGAUUUGCCGUUUUUAUCUCCUUUCGACUCAUCAUCCCAUUGGCGCAUUCGAUAACUUGUUCGGCAAGUCUGCGCACUUCCGUAUCUUGCUCCUCCUCA